CUUCUGGCUUCAGCCUCUCAAAGUGUUGAGAUUACAGUGAACUUCUUGAGCACUGGUAAGAAACAUUUGGAGAAAAUUCUCCUAAGAAGCCCUGAUCCACUUGAUGCCCUGACAAAAAAUAAAGUUAAUCUAUUAUGGUAAAGAAGAUGAGGAGAGAAGAACUGGCAUCAAACAUUUAGAAGAUAAUUAAGAGGACCUCAAGCUGCCUUAGCAGAGUGCAUCUCCUGAAGUGCAGAUAAAAUUGAUAUUAAGGCUCAGACAGACAUGGAGAUAAAAGUCCCAUGAAAGAAGACCUAGAAUUUUCAUUGAAUAGGACUCAGCACAAGAGCUGGCCCAGCUGCCUCAUCAUGGUUUGAGCCUUUGUUUUCUUAUCUGUAAGAUAACACCUAAGGCAAGCAGAAAGUUAAUUUGCAGAAUUAUUAGAGAAGGCUCUUGGUAUCAGCACCUAUGAAAACGAAGGAGGCAAAAUCACCAUGGCAUAGGGAAAAGUCAAGCCUAGGUUUGUCCUGCAUUGAUCUGAAGUGCCUGGACUGUUAUACCUCUGUCUCCAUCAAUCAUUGGAUGAGGAUCACCUAGGAAGGAUGUGGGAGAUGUGAUCCUUGAAGGGGCUGUCUGUUGAAGGAUGCUUGCUGAUAGCUCUCCCACUAGUAGGAACAAAAAAGUCAUUCCUGGAGGGGAUCUGGGUAACAUUUUCUGUGUGUUUCUUACCUGUUAAACCUGGUUUUGUGAGAGAAAUUAACUGUAAAACUUACUGUAAAUGUUAAUUUAUAAUUCUUACCAUGAUCAAACAUUUAU
Cebus imitator (Panamanian white-faced capuchin) is the source of this 795-nucleotide long non-coding RNA. RefSeq lists it as uncharacterized. NCBI's taxonomy places the organism in Eukaryota, Metazoa, Chordata, Mammalia, Primates, Cebidae. The transcript is spliced from 3 exons. The record is from RefSeq and is a predicted model, not a curated record.